Molecule: ribosomal RNA, 126 nt
Filed under: Plagiothecium cavifolium
Lineage: Eukaryota; Viridiplantae; Streptophyta; Bryopsida; Hypnales; Plagiotheciaceae
Description: partial 5.8S ribosomal RNA
Rfam family: 5.8S ribosomal RNA
About the family: 5.8S ribosomal RNA (5.8S rRNA) is a component of the large subunit of the eukaryotic ribosome. It is transcribed by RNA polymerase I as part of the 45S precursor that also contains 18S and 28S rRNA. Functionally, it is thought that 5.8S rRNA may be involved in ribosome translocation.
Source: RNAcentral
GCAUCGAUGAAGAACGUAGCGAAAUGCGAUACGUAGUGUGAAUUGCAGAAUUCCGCGAAUCAUCGAGUCUUUGAACGCAAGUUGCGCCCGAGGCUUGUCCAAGGGCAUUUCCGCUAGAGCGUCACC